AACACAGGCUGGGUUACUUUAAAAUAACACACACAGUUGAUUAUUACAGGUAACUGCCAGAAUAAAGGAAACGCCAACAUAGUGUUUUAAUAAGGUGUUGGGCCACCAGGUAACUGCCAGAAUAAAGGAAACGCCAACAUAGUGUUUUAAUAAGGUGUUGGGCCACCAGGUAACUGCCAGAAUAAAGGAAACACCAACAUAGUGUCUUAAUAAGGUGUUGGUUCACCAGGUAACUGCCAGAAUAAAGGAAACACCAACAGUGUUUUAAUAAGGUGCUGGGUCACCAGGUAACUGCCAGAAUAAAGGAAACACCAACAGUGUUUUAAUAAGGUGUUGGGCCACCAGGUAACUGCCAGAAUAAAGGAAACACCAACAUAGUGUUUUAAUAAGGUGUUGGGCCACCAGGUAACUGCCAGAAUAAAGGAAACACCAACAUAGUGUUUUAAUAAAAAGCGUUGGGCCACCUGGUAAAUGCCAGAAUAAAGGAAACACCAACAUAGUGUUUUAAUAGGGUGUUGGGCCACCACCAACCAGAACAGCUUCAAUACACCUUGACAUAG
Molecule: long non-coding RNA, 560 nt
Organism: Oncorhynchus keta (chum salmon)
Lineage: Eukaryota; Metazoa; Chordata; Actinopteri; Salmoniformes; Salmonidae
Exons: 3
Source: RefSeq, a predicted model, not a curated record